AGAGCGAACGCUGGCGGCAGGCUUAACACAUGCAAGUCGAACGCCCCGCAAGGGGAGUGGCAGACGGGUGAGUAACGCGUGGGAACAUGCCCUUUGGUUCGGAAUAACUCAGGGAAACUUGAGCUAAUACCGGAUAAGCCCCGUAAGGGGGAAAGAUUUAUCGCCGAAGGAUUGGCCCGCGUCCGAUUAGCUAGUUGGUGAGGUAAUGGCUCACCAAGGCGACGAUCGGUAGCUGGUCUGAGAGGAUGAUCAGCCACACUGGGACUGAGACACGGCCCAGACUCCUACGGGAGGCAGCAGUGGGGAAUAUUGGACAAUGGGGGCAACCCUGAUCCAGCCAUGCCGCGUGAGUGAUGAAGGCCCUAGGGUUGUAAAGCUCUUUCGACGGGGACGAGUAAUGACGGUACCCGUAGAAGAAGCCCCGGCUAACUUCGCGCCAGCAGCCGC
This 447-nucleotide ribosomal RNA is filed under the name uncultured bacterium. Its description in RNAcentral is "SSU rRNA". It matches the Rfam family "Bacterial small subunit ribosomal RNA", at positions 26 to 518 of the family's 1533-position model. The record is from RNAcentral.